This 69-nucleotide transfer RNA is filed under the name Ovis aries (sheep). It matches the Rfam family "tRNA". Rfam says of the family: Transfer RNA (tRNA) molecules are approximately 80 nucleotides in length. The record is from Rfam by way of RNAcentral. Lineage: Eukaryota; Metazoa; Chordata; Mammalia; Artiodactyla; Bovidae.
CCUGGUGGCUUAGACGGUAAAGCGUCUGCCUACAAUGCAGGAGACCCGGGUUCAAUCCUUGGAUCAGGA